RNAcentral lists this ribosomal RNA (468 nucleotides) under uncultured bacterium. Its description in RNAcentral is "partial 16S ribosomal RNA". It matches the Rfam family "Bacterial small subunit ribosomal RNA", at positions 28 to 507 of the family's 1533-position model. The record is from RNAcentral.
GACGAACGCUGGCGGCGUGCUUAACACAUGCAAGUCGAACGGAAAGGCCCUGCUUUUGUGGGGUGCUCGAGUGGCGAACGGGUGAGUAACACGUGAGUAACCUGCCCUUGACUUUGGGAUAACUUCAGGAAACUGGGGCUAAUACCGGAUAGGAGCUCCUGCUGCAUGGUGGGGGUUGGAAAGUUUCGGCGGUUGGGGAUGGACUCGCGGCUUAUCAGCUUGUUGGUGGGGUAGUGGCUUACCAAGGCUUUGACGGGUAGCCGGCCUGAGAGGGUGACCGGCCACAUUGGGACUGAGAUACGGCCCAGACUCCUACGGGAGGCAGCAGUGGGGAAUAUUGCACAAUGGGCGGAAGCCUGAUGCAGCGACGCCGCGUGCGGGAUGACGGCCUUCGGGUUGUAAACCGCUUUCGCCUGUAACGAAGCGUGAGUGACGGUAAUGGGUAAAGAAGCACCGGCUAACUACGUG